RNAcentral lists this ribosomal RNA (488 nucleotides) under uncultured bacterium. Its description in RNAcentral is "bacterial SSU rRNA". It matches the Rfam family "Bacterial small subunit ribosomal RNA", at positions 18 to 506 of the family's 1533-position model. The record is from RNAcentral.
CAUGGCUCAGAUUGAACGCUGGCGGUAUGCUUAACACAUGCAAGUCGAACGGUAGCAGGCCUUCGGGCGCUGACGAGUGGCGGACGGGUGAGUAACGCGUAGGAAUCUGCCUCAUAGUGGGGGACAACGUGGGGAAACUCACGCUAAUACCGCAUACGCCCUACGGGGGAAAGCGGGGGAUCUUCGGACCUCGCGCUAUGAGAUGAGCCUGCGUUAGAUUAGCUAGUUGGUAGGGUAAAGGCCUACCAAGGCGACGAUCUAUAGCUGGUCUGAGAGGACGAUCAGCCACACUGGGACUGAGACACGGCCCAGACUCCUACGGGAGGCAGCAGUGGGGAAUAUUGGACAAUGGGCGCAAGCCUGAUCCAGCAAUACCGCGUGUGUGAAGAAGGCCUUAGGGUUGUAAAGCACUUUCAAUUGGGAGGAAAACCUGUCGGUCAAUACCGGCAGCUUGACAUUACCUUAGAAGAAGCACCGGCUAACUCCGU